CCUUUGGCUGAUCAGAUUUCAGCAGCUCAUUCACCUCCAAGGCCAGGUUCUCAUCUUAUACAUCAGUGGAGCUUUCGCUUAGGGUUGCCAUCCAGAGUCAACACACUGUAAUAACUACAGAGCCUCCCAUUACCGGCUCAGGGCAAGAGACCCAGUCACAAUUGUUCAAAACUACUAGUGAAGCCUUCUUUGGAAAUUGUAACUCACAGGCAAGCGUCUCUGCAUCCCAGAGCAAAUCCUCUGAGAUCCUCAGUCUCUCCUGCUGAAACUUCAUCUUCCACUCCUGCCUUUGGGUCAUUUCCAAACAGCAGGGCACCAGACACGCUCUACCUUAUGUGGAGCCAUACCUAAGUACAAGAGGAUGGAGUUUCACUGUCGACUCAAA
RNAcentral lists this long non-coding RNA (385 nucleotides) under Homo sapiens (human). Its description in RNAcentral is "HSALNT0158753". Lineage: Eukaryota; Metazoa; Chordata; Mammalia; Primates; Hominidae. The record is from RNAcentral.